GUAACAUGCCCUUCGGGGUGAUGACGAGUGGCAGACGGGUGAGUAAUGCAUAAGAAUCUGCCUAGUAGUAGGGGAUAACUCGGAGAAAUCCGAGCUAAUACCGUAUACGAUCCGCAAGGAUGAAAGCGGGGGAUCGCAAGACCUCGUGCUAUUAGAUGAGCUUAUGUUAGAUUAGCUUGUUGGUAGGGUAAAGGCCUACCAAGGUGACGAUCUAUAGCUGGUCUGAGAGGAUGAUCAGCCACACUGGGACUGAGACACGGCCCAGACUCCUACGGGAGGCAGCAGUAGGGAAUAUUGGACAAUGGGCGAAAGCCUGAUCCAGCAAUGCCGCGUGUGUGAAGAAGGCCUGCGGGUUGUAAAGCACUUUUAGUGAGGAAGAAAGAUUCUAUGGUUAAUACCCGUAGAGUUUUGACGUUACUUGCAGAAAAAGCACCGGCUAACUCUGUGCCAGCAGCCGCGGUAAUACAGAGGGUGCAAGCGUUAAUCGGAAUUACUGGGCGUAAAGCGCACGUAGGUGGUUAUUUAAGUGAGAUGUGAAAUCCCUGAGCUUAACUUGGGAAUUGCAUUUUAUACUGGAUAGCUAGAGUAUGGUAAAGGGAAGUGGAAUUCCACAUGUAGCGGUGAAAUGCGUAGAGAUGUGGAGGAACAUCAGUGGCGAAGGCGGCUUCCUAGACCAAUACUGACACUGAGGUGCGAAAGCGUGGAGAGCAAACAGGAUUAGAUACCCUGGUAGUCCACGCCCUAAACGAUGAGAACUAGAUGUCGGGGGAGUUUGUCCUUUGGUAUCGCAGCUAACGCGCU
Molecule: ribosomal RNA, 801 nt
Filed under: uncultured bacterium
Lineage: Bacteria
Description: bacterial SSU rRNA
Rfam family: Bacterial small subunit ribosomal RNA
Source: RNAcentral